Molecule: ribosomal RNA, 524 nt
Filed under: Conoesucus nepotulus
Lineage: Eukaryota; Metazoa; Arthropoda; Insecta; Trichoptera; Conoesucidae
Description: partial 16S ribosomal RNA
Source: RNAcentral
GUCUUAAAGAAUAAUAAUUUUAAGUCUAAUCUGCCCACUGAAAUUUUUUUGAAGGGCCGCAAUAUAAAUGUGCAAAGGUAGCAUAAUAAUUAGUUUUUUAAUUGGAAACUAGAAUGAAUGAUUGGACGAAAUAUUAAUUGUUUCGAUUUUAAGAUUAAAAUUUAUUUUUUUAGUGAAAAAACUAAAAUUUUUAAAAAAGACGAGAAGACCCUAUAGAUCUUGAUAUAUAUUGAGUAAAAAUUUUAUAUUAUUUGUAUAUAUUUAAUUGGGGUGAUUUAAAAAUUUAAAUAACUUUUAGGAUUAUUUACAAAAAUUAUUGAAUUAUUAUAUUAUGAUCUUUAUAUACAAUUUAUAUGUUUAAAAUUUUGUUAUAUAAAAAUAAAGAUAAAGAUACCUUAGGGAUAACAGCGUAAUUUUAAUUUUAAGUUCUUAUUAAAAUUAGAGAUUGCGACCUCGAUGUUGGAUUAAAAUUAAUUUAAAAUGUAGGUGUUUUAUAAUUAGGUCUGUUCGACCUUUAAAUUUUU